This 465-nucleotide ribosomal RNA is filed under the name uncultured bacterium. RNAcentral describes it as "partial 16S ribosomal RNA". It matches the Rfam family "Bacterial small subunit ribosomal RNA", at positions 338 to 795 of the family's 1533-position model. The record is from RNAcentral.
CCUACGGGGGGCAGCAGUAGGGAAUCUUCCACAAUGGGCGAAAGCCUGAUGGAGCAACGCCGCGUGGGUGAAGAAGGUCUUCGGAUCGUAAAACCCUGUUGUUAGAGAAGAAAGUGCGUGAGAGUAACUGUUCACGUUUCGACGGUAUCUAACCAGAAAGCCACGGCUAACUACGUGCCAGCAGCCGCGGUAAUACGUAGGUGGCAAGCGUUAUCCGGAUUGAGUGGGGGUAAAGGGAACGCAGGCGGUCUUUUAAGUCUGAUGUGAAAGCCUUCGGCUUAACCGGAGUAGUGCAUUGGAAACUGGGAGACUUGAGUGCAGAAGAGGAGAGUGGAACUCCAUGUGUAGCGGUGAAAUGCGUAGAUAUAUGGAAGAACACCAGUGGCGAAGGCGGCUCUCUGGACUGUAACUGACGCUGAGGUUCGAAAGCGUGGGUAGCAAACAGGAUUAGAUACCCUUGUAGUC